CCUACGGGAGGCAGCAGUGGGGAAUCUUGCGCAAUGGGCGAAAGCCUGACGCAGCCAUGCCGCGUGAAUGAUGAAGGUCUUAGGAUUGUAAAAUUCUUUCACCGGGGACGAUAAUGACGGUACCCGGAGAAGAAGCCCCGGCUAACUUCGUGCCAGCAGCCGCGGUAAUACGAAGGGGGCUAGCGUUGCUCGGAAUUACUGGGCGUAAAGGGAGCGUAGGCGGAUAGUUUAGUCAGAGGUGAAAGCCCAGGGCUCAACCUUGGAAUUGCCUUUGAUACUGGCUAUCUUGAGUAUAGGAGAGGUAUGCGGAACUCCGAGUGUAGAGGUGAAAUUCGUAGAUAUUCGGAAGAACACCAGUGGCGAAGGCGGCAUACUGGCCCAUUACUGACGCUGAGGCUCGAAAGCGUGGGGAGCAAACAGGAUUAGAUACCCUGGUAGUCCACGCUGUAAACGAUGAGUGCUAGUUGUCGGCAUGCAUGCAUGUCGGUGACGCGAGCUACGACAUAAGACACUCCGCCGUCGGGUAGGUACGGUCGCGAGAAUUAAACUACAAUAGAAGUUAGACGGCGUGAGACGUGACCGAACGGACGACGACGAGGGAGGUUAGG
RNAcentral lists this ribosomal RNA (608 nucleotides) under uncultured bacterium. Its description in RNAcentral is "bacterial SSU rRNA". The stretch from base 1 to 518 matches the Rfam family "Bacterial small subunit ribosomal RNA", at positions 338 to 873 of the family's 1533-position model. The record is from RNAcentral.